This 253-nucleotide ribosomal RNA is filed under the name uncultured bacterium. RNAcentral describes it as "partial 16S ribosomal RNA". It matches the Rfam family "Bacterial small subunit ribosomal RNA", at positions 524 to 776 of the family's 1533-position model. The record is from RNAcentral.
UACAGAGGAGCCAAGCGUUGUCCGGAUUGACUGGGCGUAAAGCGCACGCAGGCGGUUGCGCGCGUGGGGGGUGAAAUCUGGCCGCUUAACGGUCAGGCGCCAUCCCAUACGGCGCGACUGGAGGCUUGCAGAGGUCGGUGGAAUUGCCGGUGUAGUGGUGAAAUGCGUAGAGAUGUGGAGGAACACCGAUGGCGAAGGCAGCCCCCUGGGCUAACACUGACGCUCAUGCACGAAAGCGUGGGGAGCAAACAGG